RNAcentral lists this long non-coding RNA (659 nucleotides) under Capra hircus (goat). RNAcentral's name for it is "lncRNA (ENSCHIG00010017302.1)". The record is from RNAcentral. Lineage: Eukaryota; Metazoa; Chordata; Mammalia; Artiodactyla; Bovidae.
UUUUUAUGUCUUCCUUUAAAGGGAUACCACAAAACAAGUCCCUUCAGAGCCUGACAUCUUGAUUUCGCUGACCCUCCUCAUUUUUAAAUACAGACAAUUCAACCUGGACCUGGGGUAAGGUGAGCAGAAACUGGAUUCGAGUGAAUGUUGAGUGAAGAAAAGUGGAUGGCUUAACUCAGAUGUCCUAGAUCAACCCCAGGAAAACGAAAACCGUGCAGGUGCCAGAAACAACACAUCUUCCACAAAGAAUACUGAGAUUCCUUCUGCUUUGCCUGAUCCAGAGUUCACCAUGAUCCCCUCCAAGACAAGACACAGGCCAUUCCACAGUUAAGAAAGAAGAACAAGGAUACACUCUCUUCUUUUGUACUCACAGAAGAAUUAGUCACAAGAAGUCUUUAUUGGCUGACUUACCUUUAUUGUAGCUGAUUCUGCAUGAAAUGGGCGUGACUCUCUCUCCAAAGGUAUGACUCAUUCAGAUACUGUUUCAGUAGAAAUUGAGAAGUUCACCUAAAAUAAUGUUACCAGAGGUCCAAGGGCAUACAGUAAUAUUCAUAAUAAAUAUUACGUUUUAACAAAAAAAUCUUUAACCACAAAUGUUUUCAGACAAGCUGGUAAGGGUUACUGUGGUCAUUUAAAAUAUCAGGAGCAGAUUCUUUCCU